This 270-nucleotide ribosomal RNA is filed under the name uncultured archaeon. Its description in RNAcentral is "partial 16S ribosomal RNA". It matches the Rfam family "Archaeal small subunit ribosomal RNA", at positions 477 to 747 of the family's 1478-position model. The record is from RNAcentral.
CAGCACCUCAAGUGGUCAGGAUGAUUAUUGGGCCUAAAGCAUCCGUAGCCGGCGCUGUAAGUUUUCGGUUAAAUCUGUACGCUCAACGUACAGGCUGCCGGGAAUACUGCAGCGCUAGGGAGUGGGAGAGGUAGACGGUACUCGGUAGGAAGGGGUAAAAUCCUUUGAUCUAUUGAUGACCACCUGUGGCGAAGGCGGUCUACCAGAACACGUCCGCCGGUGAGGGAUGAAAGCUGGGGGAGCAAACCGGAUUAGAGACCCGAGUAGUCC